CAAGGUCCAAGCAUAGGAAUGAUUGAUUUCAGUUUUUGCUAUUUGCCACCUGCCUGAAAAUAGGAUCCCAAUUGGUCGAUUUCGCGUGAAGAGCAACGACAUAGCUCCGAGGCUGAGACAGGGGCGAGGACCUCGCUAGGGGCGAGGCAGGGGGGUGGAGGAGAACGUAUCCGGUGAAACGACCGAAUUGGUGCACCAGAUGCACCAGCUAUGUAUGGGCCGUUGGAUUCGAAAGAAAGGGACAUGAUUCAGUGCGAUGACGGGCCUGAUGGUACAUUUGCAGACCAGUCCUUGCAGCUCAGCUAAAUCCAACGAAUUGGCCUCCCCGUACUCAGAUCGUCUUCCUCCCCUUUGCCAGAUUCUGUACCAGUACAUCCUCUUGAAGCUAGGGUUAAGGUCCAGCGAGCUCAAAGAUUGAUCUCAGAGCUUAACGAAACGCGGCUGUCUCUCCCUCUUUUGUACCACUCAGGCGAAUUAGGGUUAUUAAAUUUCGACGGUCUCUCUCAAAAAUCCGCCGCCGGCGCCGCCGCCGCCGUCAGCACUAUCCAACGAUAGCAGCUCAAGGAUGUAGGUCAUUACGGAGUCUCAUUGCCCGGAGCCGGUAAAUCUGUUGAAGAGCCUGAGCUAUGACUGGGUAAUCUUCAGAGGAGUCAUCUUCAUAGGUCUCCAAGAUGGCAUUGAUGAAACUGAUAAUUUCACCUCUCAUACUAGUCCAGAUCGUGUAUGGCUGUCUCAGGCUUCAGUUUUUGUAGCACCAUGUAAUCAUCAAGAAUGUACAUUUGCUAGAAAAUCUUGUAUGCAGGUUUUCUGUAGUUUACAUGAGUGGUUGUUGUACAAUAUACAGAUGCUUGUGUUGUUCCGAUGUGAAAGAUGUGAUGUUCUUGCAUAGAAGCAUCUAAAUAAAAUGUAUUCAGAUA
Triticum urartu is the source of this 917-nucleotide non-coding RNA. The record is from RefSeq and is a predicted model, not a curated record. NCBI's taxonomy places the organism in Eukaryota, Viridiplantae, Streptophyta, Magnoliopsida, Poales, Poaceae.